This 496-nucleotide ribosomal RNA is filed under the name uncultured bacterium. RNAcentral's name for it is "partial 16S ribosomal RNA". It matches the Rfam family "Bacterial small subunit ribosomal RNA", at positions 29 to 507 of the family's 1533-position model. The record is from RNAcentral.
AUGAACGCUGGCGGCGUGCCUAAUACAUGCAAGUCGAGCGAACAGACGAGGAGCUUGCUCCUCUGACGUUAGCGGCGGACGGGUGAGUAACACGUGGAUAACCUACCUAUAAGACUGGGAUAACUUCGGGAAACCGGAGCUAAUACCGGAUAAUAUAUUGAACCGCAUGGUUCAAUAGUGAAAGACGGUUUUGCUGUCACUUAUAGAUGGAUCCGCGCCGCAUAAGCUAGUUGGUAAGGUAACGGCUUACCAAGGCAACGAUGCGUAGCCGACCUGAGAGGGUGAUCGGCCACACUGGAACUGAGACACGGUCCAGACUCCUACGGGAGGCAGCAGUAGGGAAUCUUCCGCAAUGGGCGAAAGCCUGACGGAGCAACGCCGCGUGAGUGAUGAAGGUCUUCGGAUCGUAAAACUCUGUUAUUAGGGAAGAACAAAUGUGUAAGUAACUAUGCACGUCUUGACGGUACCUAAUCAGAAAGCCACGGCUAACUACGUG